This is a non-coding RNA of Corchorus olitorius, 46 nucleotides long. NCBI's taxonomy places the organism in Eukaryota, Viridiplantae, Streptophyta, Magnoliopsida, Malvales, Malvaceae. The record is from Rfam.
ACUGUGGUCUUAUUUAAGACCACAUUUAUCCAAAAAAAACUUUUAG